UACGUAGGGGGCUAGCGUUGUCCGGAAUCACUGGGCGUAAAGCGCACGUAGGCGGCUUUCUAAGUCAGGGGUGAAAUCCUGGAGCUCAACUCCAGAACUGCCUUUGAUACUGGAGAGCUUGAGUCCGGAAGAGGUGAGUGGAACUCCGAGUGUAGAGGUGAAAUUCGUAGAUAUUCGGAAGAACACCAGUGGCGAAGGCGGCUCACUGGUCCGGUACUGACGCUGAGGUGCGAAAGCGUGGGGAGCAAACAGG
RNAcentral lists this ribosomal RNA (253 nucleotides) under uncultured bacterium. RNAcentral's name for it is "partial 16S ribosomal RNA". It matches the Rfam family "Bacterial small subunit ribosomal RNA", at positions 524 to 776 of the family's 1533-position model. The record is from RNAcentral.